Molecule: long non-coding RNA, 170 nt
Organism: Cygnus olor (mute swan)
Lineage: Eukaryota; Metazoa; Chordata; Aves; Anseriformes; Anatidae
Exons: 3
Source: RefSeq, a predicted model, not a curated record
UCAAAUACAGUCUGGGUCUUCUAAAAGGUUUUAUCUUCUAAAAAGGUUGUAUCUGUUCUGUUUGGCUGCAGAAGGUUUGGAAAUUCUUACCUCUCACUGAUGGAGAAAAUGACUGCUGCUGCCCAUUUCUGUCUUGGAAGAAGAGAGGACUGUUGUAGCAGCAAAGCAAG